Molecule: transfer RNA, 72 nt
Filed under: Yuukianura szeptyckii
Lineage: Eukaryota; Metazoa; Arthropoda; Collembola; Poduromorpha; Neanuridae
Description: tRNA-Asn
Source: RNAcentral
UUUAAAUAAACCUAAUGUAUUAGGAUGCUACUGUUAAUAGCAAUUAAUUAUUUUUUUUUUAAUUAUUUAAAG